RNAcentral lists this long non-coding RNA (615 nucleotides) under Homo sapiens (human). RNAcentral's name for it is "HSALNT0084249". The record is from RNAcentral. Lineage: Eukaryota; Metazoa; Chordata; Mammalia; Primates; Hominidae.
CCGACAGGAAGGUGAAGAAGUCAUCUGCGUGCUGUGAGGGUGGCGCACCCCAACUCCAUGGGGACAGAAGGUCCUGCAUUUAGGACCCUUCCAGACCUCACACCUAUGUAUCUCUUCAUCUGGCUGAUUACUUAUAUCCUUUCAAAGACGCUUCUUAGUAAACUGGGCCUCCCUCACAUGGCCAGCGGAGAAGGGCCUUGCCCUACCUCUCAGACUGCAGCCCUGAGCCACUCCUUGGAGGUGAGGAGCACCAUUCACCUGAGCAGCUCCCCGCCCUGGUGUCUGAGAAAUAAAUCUGCCUUCAGUCAUACGGUUCUACCAAUCUGAGCACACGUACCACCUGAUAGGGUACUGAGGAUGGCUUCUGACCUGGAGGCAUCAAGGACCUGAAGGCAGUAACCAUUUCAGAGGACAGCCACAUCCCUCAAAUUACAAACAUCUAAAAUGUCCAUUAACUGUUGAGUGGAUAUAUAAAUUCUGAUGUUUUAUAAAAUGGCAUACCCUACAUCAAUGAAGAUGAAUGAAUUACUUCUGCAUAAAACAAUAUACAUGCAUCUAACCAAUAUGACACUGAGUGAAAAAAGACAUCCAUAGAAGAGCACAGCUCACCAUUCA